CGGGUGUCCAUGAGUCACAGAGCCACUCCUUAACCCCUGGUCCUGCUCGCGGUGGAGAAGAGAAUUCCAUUUACAACAACCAAGUUUCUAAGAACUGAGGUGCCUCGGUUGUUAAUGCUAUCUUCACACAAUGAUUGCAGUCUUGUUUACAGAUGAGAAAACAGAAACUCAAGAGGCAAAGCCAGGUGCCCAAGGACAGAACCAGGAGGCCAGGCUGAACUGGACCUGGAGACCCUGAGGCCCAUCCUGUCUUCACCGUGUCCCGCUGCAGCCACGGCCACCCUAGCUGGAGACCAGGUGUACUAGGGAGCAGCUGAAGACACCUGGGAAGGGAAGAAAGGAGAAUAAGGAUUGGAGGAUGAACGUGGGGUGUGUGGGAGGUGGCGUGCUCACUACAUUGGAGAGAAGCAUAGGCCUUAAGCCAGGCAGGCCUUGGGGCAAAUCCCAGCUGCACACCACCAGCCGAGCGACCAGGACAACGGGAGCCAAAGCAUGCAGGCCUGAGCAGACUAGGGGGGCUCAGACCUCGACUUCGCCACUUGCUGCCUGAGAGAUCUUGGCAGGUUACCUGGCAUCUUGUUU
This 582-nucleotide long non-coding RNA is filed under the name Equus asinus (donkey). Its description in RNAcentral is "lncRNA (ENSEASG00005032057.1)". The record is from RNAcentral. Lineage: Eukaryota; Metazoa; Chordata; Mammalia; Perissodactyla; Equidae.